GGUUUGUAGCUCAGUGGUAGAGCGCUUGCCUAGCAUGUGUAAGGCACUGGGUUUGAUUCUCAGCACCA
This 68-nucleotide transfer RNA is filed under the name Marmota monax (woodchuck). Its description in RNAcentral is "tRNA.Ala". Lineage: Eukaryota; Metazoa; Chordata; Mammalia; Rodentia; Sciuridae. The record is from RNAcentral.